This 270-nucleotide ribosomal RNA is filed under the name uncultured bacterium. RNAcentral describes it as "partial 16S ribosomal RNA". It matches the Rfam family "Bacterial small subunit ribosomal RNA", at positions 152 to 424 of the family's 1533-position model. The record is from RNAcentral.
GGAAACGGACGCUAAUACCGCAUACGUCCUACGGGAGAAAGCAGGGGACCUUCGGGCCUUGCGCUAUCAGAUGAGCCUAGGUCGGAUUAGCUAGUUGGUGAGGUAAUGGCUCACCAAGGCUACGAUCCGUAACUGGUCUGAGAGGAUGAUCAGUCACACUGGAACUGAGACACGGUCCAGACUCCUACGGGAGGCAGCAGUGGGGAAUAUUGGACAAUGGGCGAAAGCCUGAUCCAAAAGUGCCGCGUGUGUGAAGAAGGUCUUCGGAUU